Molecule: transfer RNA, 87 nt
Filed under: Pseudodesulfovibrio sp. JC047
Lineage: Bacteria; Pseudomonadati; Thermodesulfobacteriota; Desulfovibrionia; Desulfovibrionales; Desulfovibrionaceae
Description: tRNA-Leu
Rfam family: tRNA
About the family: Transfer RNA (tRNA) molecules are approximately 80 nucleotides in length. Their secondary structure includes four short double-helical elements and three loops (D, anti-codon, and T loops). Further hydrogen bonds mediate the characteristic L-shaped molecular structure. tRNAs have two regions of fundamental functional importance: the anti-codon, which is responsible for specific mRNA codon recognition, and the 3' end, to which the tRNAs corresponding amino acid is attached (by aminoacyl-tRNA synthetases). tRNAs cope with the degeneracy of the genetic code in two manners: having more than one tRNA (with a specific anti-codon) for a particular amino acid; and 'wobble' base-pairing, i.e. permitting non-standard base-pairing at the 3rd anti-codon position.
Source: RNAcentral
GCCUGGGUGGUGGAAUUGGUAGACACCAGGGACUUAAAAUCCCUUGAUCGCAAGGUCGUGCGGGUUCAAAUCCCGCCCCAGGUACCA